UUCUCUCUAUAUAUAUUGCACCGACCACUCCAUUCUUCUCUCUCUACUCAGCUUUCAGACAGAUCACAUUCCUUCUUCCCUUUCCUCCCGAUUCUCUCUGUUCAUUGGAAACGUUUCGUUUCCUUCCGAUUUCUCUCAAAUUCAAUCGACUGCUUCGACUUUGCUUCUCCGCUCGCUUCUCUGGUAAGGAUCUCCACUGCCGCUUUCUUUUUUUUUUUUCCAUUAAAGAUUCAUAUUGCAAAUUUUCUUCUUUAAUUUUGUCAAACAACUCUUUAAUAUUUGUGGUUCUUUUAAUAUUUGUGAUUCUUUUACGAGAUAAAACAUAAAAUCAUGUACUCUGAGUCAGAUCUGGAAUCCACCGUAACACUCAUUUAGGGAAAAGUCACCAAAAUCUAAGAUCCGUGUAAUCCUUUUUCGGUAACAAACGACCAAUAAAAAAUAUUAAAAAAGAAACCCAGAAAAUCCUCUGUGAAAAUAAAAAAACGAAAAGAGAUCAAAACCCUAGAUCUUGAAAUAAGACUGAUUACUUCUCCCUGGUUUUUCUGUAAUUAGGUUGUGUGGAGUUUUGGAUUGGAGAAUCUUGAAAUGAAUCUGUAAAAUGCAAUCUUUGUAAUGUUAUUAAAGUUUGAGCUCACCAUUACAACGUAAUGGCCUCAAACCCCAUGGAGGAGUCCUAAUCAUAAUGUAUCUUUGUUUUUUAACUGGGUACAAAUUGCAAUGGUGGUGGUUCUGCUAUUUGGGGUUUGAGGACUAAUUAUAAUGUAUAUAAUUUUUAUUUAGUUUGAGGACAAACUACAAUUGUAUAAUGGAUUGUAUUAUUACAGGUUCUCUGCGUAUUAUUAUGUUUGUUAUUUCAAUUAUUCAGGAUUUAGAGUUAAAAUUCCAAUGUAUAUCAAUUUUUAUUGGAUGAGAAGCCUAUUAGGUUCUAUUAUUAUUAUUAUAUAUUUUUUCAAUUAGUUGUACUCAAAUUAUGGGUUUUGGAUCUUGUGGUUGUAUUCCAUAUUACAAUAUGUACGUAAUAUUUGUAGGCGUCAAGUCUGUUUAUUUAUCUUCUAAUAUUGUUAUUAAGUUUUGUUAUACUUUUUACAGGUUGUAUAUAAUAUUUAUAAGUUUUGAGCCUAUAGGAUUGUAUUUUUAUUAUUUUCGUCAUGAUAUUACCCACAUUAUUGUAUUUGAAUAAUGGAUUUCGGAUCAUUUGGUUGUAUUCCGUAUUACAAUAUAUAUGUAAUAUUCAUAGGUAUCAAGCCUAUUGAAUUGUUUUAAUAUUGUUAGGAAGUUUUGUUAUAUUUUUUACGGGUUGUAUGUAAUAGUUAUAAAGUUCGAGCCUAUUGCGUUGUAAUAUUAUUAUUAUCAUGAUGAUAUGACACACAAUAUUGAUUUUGAAUUAUGGGUUUCAAAUAUUUUAGUUUCAUUCAACAAUAUAAUGAAUGUAACGAAGCCCAUUGACUUGUAUUUUUUGUCUAUAUAAUUAAACUAUAUUCUUAUUAUUAUGAAG
This 1495-nucleotide long non-coding RNA is filed under the name Carica papaya (papaya). RNAcentral describes it as "long non-coding RNA (CPAP_LNC004981)". The record is from RNAcentral. Lineage: Eukaryota; Viridiplantae; Streptophyta; Magnoliopsida; Brassicales; Caricaceae.